RNAcentral lists this ribosomal RNA (497 nucleotides) under uncultured bacterium. RNAcentral describes it as "partial 16S ribosomal RNA". It matches the Rfam family "Bacterial small subunit ribosomal RNA", at positions 27 to 507 of the family's 1533-position model. The record is from RNAcentral.
GGGGGGGGGGGGGGGGGGGGCGGGGGGGGGGAGGGCGAGCGAGCGGGCGAGGGGCGUGCGCCUCGGACGUUGGCGGCGGACGGGUGAGGAACACGGGGAUAACCUACCUAGAAGACUGGGAUAACUUCGGGAAACCGGAGCUAAUACCGGAUAAUAUCUUGAACCGCAUGGUUCAAUAGUGAAAGACGGUUUUGCUGUCACUUAUAGAUGGAUCCGCGCCGCAUUAGCUAGUUGGUAAGGUAACGGCUUACCAAGGCAACGAUGCGUAGCCGACCUGAGAGGGUGAUCGGCCACACUGGAACUGAGACACGGUCCAGACUCCUACGGGAGGCAGCAGUAGGGAAUCUUCCGCAAUGGGCGAAAGCCUGACGGAGCAACGCCGCGUGAGUGAUGAAGGUCUUCGGAUCGUAAAACUCUGUUAUUAGGGAAGAACAAAUGUGUAAGUAACUAUGCACGUCUUGACGGUACCUAAUCAGAAAGCCACGGCUAACUACGUG